AAUGGGACACUGAUAGGCUUUUGUGCCUCUAUGACAUAGAUUCUAACUCACCUUUAACAACUGCUAAAAUGCACCAACUGAUAAAAAAAUUAAUGGACUUAAUACUGUGGCAUAAAUUAAAAAUCAAUAGACACUCCUGUUAGUGCUUUCAAAAAAAGAAAAAAAACCCUUUUAUGGCAAAGGCUUUGACAACCUCUUCCCAGGCCUCCUGGAGUCUCUGAACCACUUAUAAUGGUCAUUAAUUGCCCCAGGCUUCUAAUGGAAGAAAUUGCCUCUCUCAGCCUCGUGCUAUACACCAUUAAAACAACAAAUGACUGGCUGGAAAUAGAGGCUUUCACAGAACAGAUCCUGAGCCUGUGACCUUCCACAUCCAGCUGCCCAUUAUCCUUUGGUUCACGGAAACAGCCCUGACAAGCUCAGCAUGGCUACAGAGGCCUCCUAAAGAGAGGGUGGAGCGAAACCUGGGCCCUCUGAUAUAUGCACCUGUGGACGGAGACUCUUCCCUGUCCUCUAUCCCUUGUCAGAUGCCAGGGUAUUAGAUAUGGCUAUCCUUUCCCCACACCUCUUUACCAUCUGGGAAGCCCCUUGGGAUUCACUGAGUGAAUAGCAAUGGAAGUUUGUACACUAGGCAGAUAGCACUGAUGAACAUUCUAUGUGGUGAGGCUAAGGGGAGAGCUGCUGCUUCCCAUCCCUUAGCCAGGAUGUCUCUGAUAAAUGAUGGGACAAAAACCAACAGACUUGGACCAAGUUCAGGCAGUCAUCUUAGCACUGGAUGCCCUGACGAAGUGAUGACCCCAUCCUCAUGUUUAUCAUAAACUAUUAGGCCAUUACUUAAAAAUUGUUCUCUCCAAGGUAAAAAAAACAAAACAAAACACAAAAACACUUUAGUAAUCUUUUGCCUGAUGGACACCCAAAAUAUAAAUAAAAAUCACAUCUCCACCUAUAACAAGGCCACAAUACAAAACUUUGCCAGGACAUCCCUUUUUCCCUUCAGAGUUACAGGCUUUGUUGGUACUAACCAAGACACACAUAGCACUUCUUAGAACACACCAUGCUGGGCUCUUGAGGAAGGCACUCAAUAGACCUUCCAUGUCCCUGAUACGAACCAGUAACUGCUUUAACUGAGAGACAGAAUAGUCUCCUCAAACAACUUCUUUUCAAAUUCCAGUACAACAAAUAAACCUCUAAACUUCUCUAUCUUAACUCUCUGACCUUAACCUAUCAUUAUACAUUUUUGAUCUUGUCCCUGUCCCACAAGGAUUGGAGGUGAGAUCAAGGGCACAUUCUCUCCUAGGAAUGAUUAACCAUAGACUCACAACUAGGCAGCUGCUCAUCUGAUAUGGGAUCCAUUUGAACCUAAACUUCCACCAGAAACAAAAGCCCUGUUGGGUGCAACUAUACACCAUUCUAUUAACUCCUGGUGUUAUUACUACCAAUUUGAGCACUUUCAUUGGUUUGCAAUCUGGUGACCCGACUGUGAACCAAGUAAGAUUGUAAACUAACGUAAGAGUGGGUACACACUUUAAAAGGAUACCCUAGUCCCACAUCCCAGAUGACAUCACCCUGGCCCAAAAUCCCACCCCUGAUGACGACAUCAACCUCAGACAAUAUUGCUCCAACCAAAGACCCUGUCAUUGCAGAUGACUUCGCCCUCUGCAUGGAAAUAAUUUCACCUGACACUAAAAACUCUGCCCCACCAACACCUAUGGGCUGCCUCUCCUAAGGCAUGAAUGGACACAGGAUUUAUUUUUGCUUUUCUUCCUGGACUCACUCUCUGCUUAGCCAAUGAUCCCAGUAUACUCCUUGCUGUCUGCUCACAUGUCCACCCAUACAUUCCCAUACCUAAAGGAGAAUCUGUUACUAAAAUCAAUGAGAUUAUUUCUUCCCCCUGGGUGGCACCUGCCUCAUUUAAGGCAAUCUCCUGGGAGAGAGGACCAUCCACUCCAUGAUGGGUUUCCUACUACACCCUCCAGCUUUCUGCCACAAUCUCUCAAUUUGCAUAUCCAAACAAAUCUCUCAAUUUGCAUUUCCAAACAGCUCUGCCCCUUGGUUUCAUGUAAUGCUACUAAUCUUUACAUAUACUUUAUCAGUUCAACAUAACACAAAACAACAUAACUUCCCUACUAAAAUGCAUAAAUUGUUUGUUAAAUGAUACUGUUCCCCUUAUAGUUUGUAUCUCCACCACUCAAACUGUAACUGUCUUACAUUCAGAAGGUGAUUCCAGGGACUAAAGGAGGGAUUUUCAUACAUUUGUUUAAUAUCAGUGCUGAAUAUUAUUUAAUUUGACUUCCCUUUUCAGGCCUGACAGAAGUUGUUUGACACCCAGGGCUACUCUGUCACCUUUGGCGGAGUUAAAAUCUCGUCCUCCUUCUGCGGCUGCUUAACCCACUUGUUCCUCACGCCACUGACGCAGCCCAAGGAACCCCAAAGCUGCUGACCAUGAGCAAACCUAAUGGCCCACACCGGAGUCAUGUAAAUAAGUCCCCUCUUCACACAUGUUUACUUUAAACUCCCCAGUCCGCAACUCCAGCAGGAAAGCCUAAGGGAUAACGCCCACGGAGCUUAGGCCUGGCCCCACAGGCCCUCCUCCUCUCCCCCAACUCUCCACACACUAGGAGAGCUAUCUGCCACUCCUGGACAUCCUAUCAGCGCCCCCAGAAGCACUCCCGACCUCUCUGGAACUAUUUGCAUCAAAGAUUAUGAGCAACAUGGAUCUGUAAUGUUCUUUCUUAAAAAGUUAUUCACUCAGGGUGAUCAGAUGUCUAUUCAAAACAGCCAACAAUGAGCUAAAGGAGUGCUGUUCCAGCCAGAAUCCUACUGCUACCACAAGUGAUGAAAGCACAAGAAAUCCUCCACAAAGGUAUUCUACAACUAAACUUCUGAACUAAGGGUUGGAGAAAACUGGCUCUUUAAAUUUCAAAAUAAAAAUCAGUUUGUCUAUCAAUAUAAGGCAAUAAAUACUCAUUCACCACC
This 2973-nucleotide long non-coding RNA is filed under the name Homo sapiens (human). RNAcentral's name for it is "HSALNT0379829". Lineage: Eukaryota; Metazoa; Chordata; Mammalia; Primates; Hominidae. The record is from RNAcentral.